RNAcentral lists this long non-coding RNA (2384 nucleotides) under Homo sapiens (human). Its description in RNAcentral is "long independently transcribed non-coding RNA 1619, transcript variant 4 (LINC01619)". The record is from RNAcentral. Lineage: Eukaryota; Metazoa; Chordata; Mammalia; Primates; Hominidae.
AUUGCUUCCCUGUUGAAGUGAAGAUAUAAAUGUUCCAUUCUGACCCACCUUUGAAAAACAAUUACUUUGCCCCAUGGAUUCUUUGUUCAAUUAGAAAUUUCCCCGGGGCAGGUGACCCAUAGUCUUAAAGAACAGGCUAAACACCACAGAGAGAUUGGUUGCUUUUUGCUUUUCAUCACCUGCAAGAUGUACAUAAAAAUCACAUAAGCUGGAAUUCAACAAAAGACCUCUGACUAUGUGAAGAUACGGUGGGAAGAUGACUGACCGCAAGACAGGAAGAGAGCCCUCACCGAGGAACCAAAUUGGCCAGUAUCUUGAUUUUGGAUUUCUCAACCUCAAGAACCAUGAGAAAUGAAUGUCUGCUGUUCAAGCCACCCAGUCAAUGUCCAUGAGAGCAAGCAUCUUUGUCCGUUUGGCUCACUGUUGGAUUCCCUGUUUUAAAAAUAUCACCCGGCCCAGCAAAAAGUUUGGAAACCUUCAUCUAGAAAGUGGUCUAGCAAAGUGUGGUCCAUGGAUGAGUUUGAUCUGCAAACUGCUUGUUAUUGGUUCAUGACAAGGUCUACCAAUUGCAUUUUGAGAGCUCAGAUAAGCAGAGAGCAAUGCAAUUUGUCACAGAAGGAUGAUUAUGUAUAUGCACUGUCAUGUCUAUUUCCAUGCCUAACUCAAAGGAGACACAAGGAGAAAGUGAGCUCAGCCUGGAUAAAUUGGAGAUUGUGAUGACUUCUAGGAAGCCUCAGGAAAGAGAAACAAAGACAACACUGGCCUGCUGCUCUCUGCAAUGGUGGGACCCUUGUGGGAUAACUGUUUUAGGAAUGAAGGUGUCUACCCUCUCUAGAAAUGAAAAUGCAAGUUUGGCUGUGGUUAAGUAUUGGAUGGAGGCAAAAAGAAACUGACAUAUUUUCUUCUUUUCAAUUGUUUGAUUCACCCUGAAGGGCAUGGCUGCUUAAUUUUUUUCUCCAGAGAUAGGUGGACAGAUAAAGACAGGAAAGUAACAUCCACAGACUGCCCUCUGUGAAGGUGACAGUGAUGAAAGGAAUGCUUGAUCUGAACACUGGUAAAUAAAGUGACCGCAUAUUUCCCUAGCCAGGAGAGCAAUCUGGCUCAAAAGAAACGAGAACAAUGACAUUACUGCCAGGCUGCUCCUAAGCCUUUGGCUAUUCUGUUCAGUGCACAAAAAAAAGCAGUGAACAUAGCUGUGACCUGCCUUGUUGGUAGUAUCACAAUUCUUUGGGGCUCCACUUUAAGAAAUUGAGACCUACCUACCUUAAUCCUUGGGGGGUUAAGCUUUCAGACUGGAAUGAUAACUGAACUAUUCAUUUGCAGUAAUUCUGGGUUUUGUGCAUAUUUUAAAAAGGAAUACCGGGCUUGCCUAUAUUCAUUACAACGUCCUCCCAGCUUUCAAAUCUUCCAAUACAAUGCCUCUUCUCUAGUCUUUUAAGCACAUCCUGUGACUGGAUAUGAUUAUGGGAGAUUUACAUGCAUCCUUGUCUAUUGUAUCAAAAGAUCAGGGAAUAAAAUGCCCAUCAUUAAAACCCCAAAGUGAUUGGAUUGGCAUGAGGAAUGGGGAUGGGGCUGGCAUGGAAGAGAGGGUUCUGACUCUGAGAUUUCAUGAAAUGCAAAACAAUAGGACAGCUGCUCUUCCAUAAACAGAUUAUUAUUAUUAUUUCUACCUAGACAGCUUGAUAGCAGCCAUUAUCUUCUUUCUGGGUGUCUUAUCAAGUUCCGGCUGUGUGCAGCAUGGGUGAUAAGGAAAGAGAAAUGUCACCCAUGGGAUUGCCAAGGAUUAUUUCUAUGCACUGCUGUUCAGCAACAGCCAAUCUCUCAGAACUGAGAAGAAGUCCUAUUGUUCACGCUGGGCAGUUGCUAUUCUGACUAUCCCAAGAGAGCAGAAAAGGGAUGUAGUUGCCAUUGUGCAAAAGAUUGAUAUUUCAUUACUCUCAGCUAAAGUUCUGAAAAGCAGAAUCAUCAUGAAAUAUCUUUGAAGAGAGAAAAGACAAGGGAAGAAAAGAAGAACGAAAUGAGUUCAGAGCUUUUUAGAACUGUGAGGGAGUGCGAAAAAAGAAAGGUGUAAUACUUUCAAACAGUGGAAGUUAAAAUGCCAGGCGUGUAAGCCUCAGUGAAAUUGAGCAGCAUCACGUCACCACGACUUGUGGUCCAGCUGUUUAUUGCAAAGACUCCAUCCUGCGUUACUCAUCAGAAAAUAGUUAACUUUGUAUCUGGCAUUAUUUUAAUUAAAAAAAAAGUUAACUUACUAGAUUUCUGUUUGUCUGUGUUUCAUACAAGGUUCUUGAAUGAAAAUAAUCUGUUGAUAUUUAACAUUUUUCCUUUCCUUCUCAAUGAGAAAAUAAAUGUUUUAUUAUACAUGCAAAAAAAAAAAAAAAAAA